AUGAAAGAACCUGCUACAUAUGUAACCAAAAAAUUAAACUUAUGCUCUUUAACACUGACAUCUCUGGAAAAAAAAUGUGUCUGUGUCAUACAGACACUUGUGAUUGCGUUUAAUUUAUUCAUUUUUUUCAAUUAUUACGAGUAUCGACAUGUCGGUAUUGAUUCUCUUAGAGACUCAGUUUGGAUUACCUUAUAG
This is a non-coding RNA of Vicia faba (fava bean), 195 nucleotides long. NCBI's taxonomy places the organism in Eukaryota, Viridiplantae, Streptophyta, Magnoliopsida, Fabales, Fabaceae. The record is from the annotation of a GenBank genome assembly.